AGCCUCUUGUAAAUAUAAAAUAAAAGGUGAAGCCUGCCCAGUGACUUACGAGUUAAACGGCCGCGGUACCCUGACCGUGCUAAGGUAGCAUAUAAGAUACCCUUUAAUUGGGGGUUGGUAUGAAUGGACUAACGAGAGCUAAGCUGUCUCUAAAAUAAAUAAUAAAUUUACCUUUAGGUGAAAAGGCCUAAAUAUACUUAAAAGACAAAAAGACCCCAUAGAGCUUUAUUAUUAAAAAAUAGAUAAAAAAUAUAAUAUAUCUUUUUAUUUAUCAAAUACAUAAUUUAACUGGGGCGGUUAAGGAGCAAAUACCCUCCUUUCAAAUUAAAGGAAACAACCCUAUAAAGAUCCUCUAUAGAUUAAAGAAAAAAGCUACCUUGGGGAUAACAGGCUAAUACCUUUUAAGAGUACAUAUCGAAAAAGAUGUUUGGCACCUCGAUGUUGGCUCAGGAGAACCUUGAAAUAGCAGAAGUUUCAAUUGGCAGGUUUGUUCAACCUUUAAACUCCU
This 508-nucleotide ribosomal RNA is filed under the name Clymenura sp. RNAcentral's name for it is "partial 16S ribosomal RNA". It matches the Rfam family "Bacterial large subunit ribosomal RNA", at positions 1817 to 2597 of the family's 2925-position model. Lineage: Eukaryota; Metazoa; Annelida; Polychaeta; Maldanidae. The record is from RNAcentral.